GACGAAGGUGGCGAGCGUUGUUCGGAAUCACUGGGCAUAAAGCGCACGUAGGCGGCUAGGUAAGUCGGAUGUGAAAUACCUCGGCUCAACCGAGGAACUGCGUCCGAUACUGCCUGGCUUGAGGUCCGGAGGGGAGAGUGGAAUUCCCGGUGGAGCGGUGAAAUGCGUAGAGAUCGGGAAGAACGCCGGCGGCGAAAGCGGGUUGCUGGGCCGACACUGACGCUGAUGCGCGAAAGCCAGGGGAGCGAACGGG
RNAcentral lists this ribosomal RNA (253 nucleotides) under uncultured bacterium. RNAcentral describes it as "partial 16S ribosomal RNA". It matches the Rfam family "Bacterial small subunit ribosomal RNA", at positions 524 to 776 of the family's 1533-position model. The record is from RNAcentral.